Cornus florida is the source of this 1179-nucleotide long non-coding RNA. RefSeq lists it as uncharacterized. Lineage: Eukaryota; Viridiplantae; Streptophyta; Magnoliopsida; Cornales; Cornaceae. The transcript is spliced from 3 exons. The record is from RefSeq and is a predicted model, not a curated record.
UUCUUUUCAUUUUCCUUCUGAUCAGAUAUAGAACCUCCACUCUUCAUGGCUUUUUCCUUCUCCCUCUCUUCCCUCUUAUCUAAAGAAAAUUAGGGCAAUACCUCAAAAAUCACAGUUAAUUUUACAGUAAGCUAAAAAUGUAUACCAAUAUCCUUCAACCCAUUCUUUACAAUUACCAAAAUCUAAUUAAAUCAUGUAAACAGACCUGGCAAAUCAUCCUACAUGUAAAUUUUUAGUUCUAAAACGGAUCUUUUGUUUAUCAAUAGGAAAUGGAAAAUGAUUUGUUUUUUGAUCUGAUUUGACGAGGACCUGCAGUUUUUCACAAUGGGCCUACACUACAACAAAAUGGGCUUUUAACAACACUUUUUCUAAAAGGGUCAUGCAUAACCCUUGUAGAAAGCACUUUCUACAACAGGCCCGGGUAGUCAGCCAGACCCAUCAACACCACCUUGAACCAUUAACAUCAUCCACUUAGCUUACCUUGCUGGUCCGUGUUUAAAUGCUAUCUCGUGAGGCAAAAGGAUGGGAUUGGGGCUCAAACUAGAUUACCCUUGUUCAGACUCCCUAAGAUACGAGGAAGCGAAAAAGGAUCACAGCCAUCACAGAACCUGUUAUUUUCUCCAUCAACAAUAGAUUGAAGCCUUUAAAUCUCUAUAUCCAAGUGAAGUUGACAAGCAUUUGUUGUCUCAGCAGACUGGUUUGUCCAAAUAUCAGCAACAGCAGCAGCUGCCACCAUGGUUCCACCAACAACAGUCUCCAUCAGAUUCCCAACAGCAGCGAACCACACCAAACUGGCAUCAAUAGCCUCCACCACCUCCAGCGGACUCUCAUUUUCAGCAGCCGCCACUAACAAGGUGGCACCAGCAAGCACCACCCACAACCACCAACAAAAUGAAUAAUGGAUCUUAAAGAGGAUGGAACAAUAUUUUGUGCUUCUAGAUGGUGUAAUUUUUAGUUUAGAAAACUGGAGAGCAAUUUUAGUUUUUGUUUAGAAAAUUGGAGAUUUUAUGGAUCUUGAAUAUAUGUAUUGAGGAUUUAUUUUAUUUUAUGGCCAGUAAUAUCUUUUUGAAUGUUAUUGUGGAUCUAUUUUAUUUAUGUUUUGCAUGUAUUCAAAAUGAUUAAACCCACAAAUCAAGCAUAAAAAAAUAAUAAUAAAAAAUAAAAAUAAAAAUAAAAAAA